AUGAACGGCGCGCUAAGGGUCUCUGCUUCAAUUGUGACGAGAAGUUCACGCGGGGCCAUCGCUGCAAACGUCUGUUCUAUAUUCAAUCCGCCGACGCCGAAGAGGAGCAGUUUGAGGAUUUCCAGGAAGCACAAAUCUCACUCUUGGUUGUUACCGGAAUUCCCACCAGCGACACAAUGCAGGUCACUCUUCGCAUCGGGGACCGUGACUUGGUCGCCUUGCUUGAUUCAGGCAGCACCCAUAACUUCAUCCACGAAGAGUUGGCCACCAUCGUCGGGCUGCCUUUCUCCUCCAAUCGUCGUUUGGGAGUCACGGUCGCUAAUGGCGAUAAGGUGA
Molecule: ribosomal RNA, 336 nt
Filed under: Triticum aestivum (bread wheat)
Lineage: Eukaryota; Viridiplantae; Streptophyta; Magnoliopsida; Poales; Poaceae
Description: partial small subunit ribosomal RNA
Source: RNAcentral